RNAcentral lists this ribosomal RNA (417 nucleotides) under uncultured bacterium. RNAcentral's name for it is "bacterial SSU rRNA". It matches the Rfam family "Bacterial small subunit ribosomal RNA", at positions 358 to 772 of the family's 1533-position model. The record is from RNAcentral.
GGAAUUUUGCACAAUGGGCGAAAGCCUGAUGCAGCAACGCCGUGUGAGGGAUGAAGGCCUUCGGGUUGUAAACCUCUUUCACCACUGACGAAGCUUGCCCCUUUUUGGGGUGGGUGACGGUAGGUGGGGAAGAAGCGCCGGCCAACUACGUGCCAGCAGCCGCGGUAAUACGUAGGGCGCGAGCGUUGUCCGGAUUUAUUGGGCGUAAAGGGCUCGUAGGCGGCUUGUCGCGUCGAUAGUGAAAGCCCGCGGCUUAACUGUGGGUUUGCUGUCGAUACGGGCAGGCUUGAGGUAGGUAGGGGAGAGUGGAAUAUCCGGUGUAGCGGUGGAAUGCGCAGAUAUCGGAUGGAACACCGGUGGCGAAGGCGGCUCUCUGGGCCUUACCUGACGCUGAGGAGCGAAAGCGUGGGGAGCGAA